ACCUCUCUUUGCAGAAAAGGGAGAAGGGAAAACCAGAGGGACCCUUGCUCUCCCACCCAAGGAAAAUUAGCAGUCAGCUCUUCAACAUCCAGCACUGUGAUUUCUCCUCUGCAUCAACCUUCAGCCACGGUGACUAGCUUCACCAGCAUCUCUUCUCAGUCAUCUUGGCUAGCUUCAUCCUCUUUCCAGUAACAGAGACUGCUUUCCAUCAGUAGCUUCCUUUCAGUAGCAGUAAUAGAGAUUGCAUCUCCUCAGACUGUGACCAACAACUUCACCCUCCUUCCAGCAGCAAGAGUUUCUUCUCAGUCACAAAAGCUUCUGGUUCCAACCAUGAGCAGCAGUUUACUCUUCCAGCAGUAAGAGGCUCUCCCUUCCAGUCAAAGCAGCACAGUAAUACCUACUCCACACCAGCAGCUCCUCACCUUGGUCAGUCUCCACCCCAGCACCAGAUCCUCCAAGAUCAGCCACCGUGGGUAGUUUUGCAACCAGUCACCUCACACAGCAACCGUGAACUCCAACAACACAGUCACCUGCUGCGGCAACAUCUCUUUCUUUGCACCGUGAGAACCACCAUCUCCCACCGUACUAACCUCCACACCAGGAAGCUUCUCUCAACUCCACCGUGAGCUUUAGUCCUGAUAGCAGUCCUUGGAUACAACCAG
RNAcentral lists this long non-coding RNA (662 nucleotides) under Populus trichocarpa (black cottonwood). RNAcentral describes it as "long non-coding RNA (PTRI_LNC000198)". Lineage: Eukaryota; Viridiplantae; Streptophyta; Magnoliopsida; Malpighiales; Salicaceae. The record is from RNAcentral.